CCUACGGGAGGCAGCAGUGAGGAAUAUUGGUCAAUGGCCGUAAGGCUGAACCAGCCAAGUCGCGUGAAGGAAGAAGGAUCUAUGGUUUGUAAACUUCUUUUAUAGGGGAAUAAAGGUAUCCACGUGUGGAUAUUUGCAUGUACCCUAUGAAUAAGCAUCGGCUAACUCCGUGCCAGCAGCCGCGGUAAUACGGAGGAUGCGAGCGUUAUCCGGAUUUAUUGGGUUUAAAGGGUGCGCAGGCGGAGGUGCAAGUCAGCGGUCAAAUUGCGGGGCUCAACCCCGUACUGCCGUUGAAACUGCAUCCCUUGAGUGCGCGAGAAGUAUGCGGAAUGCGUGGUGUAGCGGUGAAAUGCAUAGAUAUCACGCAGAACUCCGAUUGCGAAGGCAGCAUACCGGCGCGCAACUGACGCUCAUGCACGAAAGCGUGGGUAUCGAACAGGAUUAGAUACCCGAGUAGUC
RNAcentral lists this ribosomal RNA (459 nucleotides) under uncultured bacterium. RNAcentral's name for it is "partial 16S ribosomal RNA". It matches the Rfam family "Bacterial small subunit ribosomal RNA", at positions 338 to 795 of the family's 1533-position model. The record is from RNAcentral.